Non-coding RNA from Daphnia pulex (common water flea), 72 nucleotides. NCBI's taxonomy places the organism in Eukaryota, Metazoa, Arthropoda, Branchiopoda, Diplostraca, Daphniidae. The record is from Rfam.
GGAACGGUAGCGUAAUGGAAGCGCGUCAACAUACGCAUGAGGGAGGUGUUGGUUCAAGCCCAACCCGUUCCC